UCAGAACUCUGCUCCAGACCAGUGCUACCCUAAGUACCAUCACCACCAUCUGGUCCAUCCUCCAGCUUUAAGCUCCCUCAUGUCAAACCAUUCCCACCAGCAGCCCUGAAACUGAGAGAAAAGCCUCCAGAGCUACUGGAGAACCAUAAGCCUCAGUUCCCCUAAUUAAUAUCCUUUUGGACAAGUCUAAACAAACAGUAAAAGAAUCAGAAAUAUAUGGCAGAGCUUGUGUAAGCAGGAUAAUCUUCUGUACUGGCCUCUUUAAAGCUUAUCGUAUAAGUCAUACAAUACUUCUGAAGACAGGAAAAAAUACACAAAGAGGCAGCUGUUGGAACAGAAGCCAGCUACUGAGAAAUCAGAGGAUUCAUCUGCCUUCGUAUCAGCUGUCUGCAGUACAAAUACCUAUGGAUGAUCCUAUCACCCCGAGCUCCCUGUCUAGUGAGGAGCGAGAAACAGGCUCUUGCAAAGUGCGACUUAGCUGUGCCGUUUUAGGCAUCAUCGUUAGGAUGAAACGAAUUUCCACACAGACUCUGCCAGUUUCCCUGCAGCCUCUGAAGGAGAUCCACACUUAGAUGUGUGCAUCUGCACACACAAACUGCUGUGGCCCUCUGGCAUCUCGGGGCCUUUCAACCCUGCUGAGACAGCCGGUCCCAUUCUUUUUCAUCUCCCCUCCUCGUGCAGAAGCAGUGCUCCAGGAACCCAUCUUCCCGGUGAUGUAGGAUGGGGGAGGCCCUACCCUUUCCCAGAGGCGCACAGGGACGCAGGCGAUACUGGAGGAGGGCUGGGGGACUCGGCUGGGCGCUGUCCGUGCCUGUGGUGCUGAAGCCCCGUGCUGCAGCUGUCCCCGCGUGCUGCGCGAAGCGGGAGGUGGAAGUCACAGGAAAUAAAGUCGGACAGUGUUAAAUAGUCUAACUCAAAACUUUUGCUGCUCCCCAUCGUUCCAAUGCCAUUCUCUUUUCCUAUCAGCAGCUCUCCAGUUCGGCGGUAAAAUGUGGCUUACGCGAUCCGAUUAUACAUGCACAUCCCAGAGAGGACGCUCAUGCCUUGUGAAAAUUAAUUACAAAUCUCCAAAGGACAACGAUGAACUAAAAAUAACAAAAACAACAGGAAGCAUUGUACUCUGGUGGGUGACGCUAAAAAAAAAAUAAGAUGCUGA
Molecule: non-coding RNA, 1156 nt
Organism: Meleagris gallopavo (turkey)
Lineage: Eukaryota; Metazoa; Chordata; Aves; Galliformes; Phasianidae
Source: RefSeq, a predicted model, not a curated record